GUGAGCGUAGCUCAGUUGGUAGAGCUCUGGAUUGUGACUCCAGCGGUCGUGGGUUCGAGCCCCAUCGUUCACCCCA
RNAcentral lists this transfer RNA (76 nucleotides) under Marinospirillum insulare. Its description in RNAcentral is "tRNA-His". It matches the Rfam family "tRNA". Rfam says of the family: Transfer RNA (tRNA) molecules are approximately 80 nucleotides in length. Their secondary structure includes four short double-helical elements and three loops (D, anti-codon, and T loops). Lineage: Bacteria; Pseudomonadati; Pseudomonadota; Gammaproteobacteria; Oceanospirillales; Oceanospirillaceae. The record is from RNAcentral. RNAcentral also lists the same sequence under 2 other names.